This 593-nucleotide small RNA is filed under the name Pan troglodytes (chimpanzee). RNAcentral's name for it is "processed transcript". The record is from RNAcentral. Lineage: Eukaryota; Metazoa; Chordata; Mammalia; Primates; Hominidae.
UCCGGGGUUGACGAUGGCUGUGUUGUUGAAGGGCCUGUAGCCGGGGGGCUCCUGGCCGGAUCCCGGUCUACCCUUAGCCCAGCCUCGUUCCGGACCCCAGCUUGGCCCGGAACACUCUGGGCGAGACGGCGGUGGCAACUCUCCGCUUGCCGCCAUGCACGACGCUUUCGAGCCAGUGCCGAUCCUAGAAAAGCUGCCUCUGCAAAUCGACUGUCUGGCUGCCUGGGAGGAAUGGCUUCUUGUGGGAACCAAACAAGGACAUCUUCUUCUCUAUAGGAUUCGGAAGGACGUUGGUUGCAACAGAUUUGAAGUGACACUAGAGAAAUCCAAUAAGAACUUCUCCAAAAAGAUUCAGCAGGUAAGCAGUGAUGGCAGUCCUUACAAGAAUAUUUGACUUACAUGAGACCCUGUCAGACUAGAACUUUGGUAAUGUUAUUUAUUAACUCUGAAUCCUCUUCUCUUUGACCUUCCAUUUAUGCAGGAGUGUCUGCUCAUAUAUCAUGUGCCUGAGAUUCUCUCUCACAAGCAGAAAUGAUAAUCACAGAAAUUAUAAUGCCCAGAAAAAUCAGUGAGAUCCCUGUAACUGGAUAGGC